RNAcentral lists this ribosomal RNA (1713 nucleotides) under Campylobacter jejuni. RNAcentral describes it as "partial 23S ribosomal RNA". It matches the Rfam family "Bacterial large subunit ribosomal RNA", at positions 1 to 1732 of the family's 2925-position model. Lineage: Bacteria; Pseudomonadati; Campylobacterota; Epsilonproteobacteria; Campylobacterales; Campylobacteraceae. The record is from RNAcentral.
AGGUAAGCUACUAAGAGCGAAUGGUGGAUGCCUUGACUGGUAAAGGCGAUGAAGGACGUACUAGACUGCGAUAAGCUACGGGGAGCUGUCAAGAAGCUUUGAUCCGUAGAUUUCCGAAUGGGGCAACCCAAUGUAUAGAGAUAUACAUUACCUAUAUAGGAGCGAACGAGGGGAAUUGAAACAUCUUAGUACCCUCAGGAAAAGAAAUCAAUAGAGAUUGCGUCAGUAGCGGCGAGCGAAAGCGCAAGAGGGCAAACCCAGUGCUUGCACUGGGGGUUGUAGGACUGUAAUGUGCAAGAGGUAAGUUUAGCAGAACAUUCUGGAAAGUAUAACCAUAGAGGGUGAUAGUCCCGUAUGCGAAAAACAAACCUUAGCUAGCAGUAUCCUGAGUAGGGCGGGACACGAGGAAUCCUGUCUGAAUCCGGGUCGACCACGAUCCAACCCUAAAUACUAAUACCAGAUCGAUAGUGCACAAGUACCGUGAGGGAAAGGUGAAAAGAACUGAGGUGAUCAGAGUGAAAUAGAACCUGAAACCAUUUGCUUACAAUCAUUCAGAGCCUUAUGUAGCAAUACAGGGUGAUGGACUGCCUUUUGCAUAAUGAGCCUGCGAGUUGUGGUGUCUGGCAAGGUUAAGCAAACGCGAAGCCGUAGCGAAAGCGAGUCUGAAUAGGGCGCUUAGUCAGAUGCUGCAGACCCGAAACGAAGUGAUCUAUCCAUGAGCAAGUUGAAGCUAGUGUAAGAACUAGUGGAGGACUGAACCCAUAGGCGUUGAAAAGCCCCGGGAUGACUUGUGGAUAGGGGUGAAAGGCCAAUCAAACUUCGUGAUAGCUGGUUCUCUCCGAAAUAUAUUUAGGUAUAGCGUUGUGUCGUAAUAUAAGGGGGUAGAGCACUGAAUGGGCUAGGGCAUACACCAAUGUACCAAACCCUAUCAAACUCCGAAUACCUUAUAUGUAAUCACAGCAGUCAGGCGGCGAGUGAUAAAAUCCGUCGUCAAGAGGGAAACAACCCAGACUACCAGCUAAGGUCCCUAAAUCUUACUUAAGUGGAAAACGAUGUGAAGUUACUUAAACAACCAGGAGGUUGGCUUAGAAGCAGCCAUCCUUUAAAGAAAGCGUAAUAGCUCACUGGUCUAGUGAUUUUGCGCGGAAAAUAUAACGGGGCUAAAGUAAGUACCGAAGCUGUAGACUUAGUUUACUAAGUGGUAGGAGAGCGUUCUAUUUGCGUCGAAGGUAUACCGGUAAGGAGUGCUGGAGCGAAUAGAAGUGAGCAUGCAGGCAUGAGUAGCGAUAAUUAAUGUGAGAAUCAUUAACGCCGUAAACCCAAGGUUUCCUACGCGAUGCUCGUCAUCGUAGGGUUAGUCGGGUCCUAAGUCGAGUCCGAAAGGGGUAGACGAUGGCAAAUUGGUUAAUAUUCCAAUACCAACAUUAGUGUGCGAUGGAAGGACGCUUAGGGCUAAGGGGGCUAGCGGAUGGAAGUGCUAGUCUAAGGUCGUAGGAGGUUAUACAGGCAAAUCCGUAUAACAAUACUCCGAGAACUGAAAGGCUUUUUGAAGUCUUCGGAUGGAUAGAAGAACCCCUGAUGCCGUCGAGCCAAGAAAAGUUUCUAAGUUUAGCUAAUGUUGCCCGUACCGUAAACCGACACAGGUGGGUGGGAUGAGUAUUCUAAGGCGCGUGGAAGAACUCUCUUUAAGGAACUCUGCAAAAUAGCACCGUA